RNAcentral lists this ribosomal RNA (516 nucleotides) under uncultured bacterium. RNAcentral's name for it is "bacterial SSU rRNA". It matches the Rfam family "Bacterial small subunit ribosomal RNA", at positions 355 to 883 of the family's 1533-position model. The record is from RNAcentral.
UGGGGAAUCUUGGACAAUGGGGGCAACCCUGAUCCAGCCAUGCCGCGUGAGUGAUGAAGGCCUUAGGGUCGUAAAGCUCUUUCGCCUGUGAAGAUAAUGACGGUAGCAGGUAAAGAAACCCCGGCUAACUCCGUGCCAGCAGCCGCGGUAAUACGGAGGGGGUUAGCGUUGUUCGGAAUUACUGGGCGUAAAGCGCACGUAGGCGGACCAGAAAGUUGGGGGUGAAAUCCCGGGGGCUCAACCCCGGAACUGCCUCCAAAACUAUUGGUCUAGAGUUCGAGAGAGGUGAGUGGAAUUCCAAGUGUAGAGGUGAAAUUCGUAGAUAUUUGGAGGAACACCAGUGGCGAAGGCGGCUCACUGGCUCGAUACUGACGCUGAGGUGCGAAAAGUGUGGGGAGCAAAACAGGAUUAGAUACCCCUGGGUAGUCCACACCGUAAAACGAUGAAUGCCAGUCGUCGGGUAGCAUGCUAUUCGGUGACACACCUAACGGAUUAAGCAUUCCGCCUGGGGAGUAC